GAUGAACGCUGACAGAAUGCUUAACACAUGCAAGUCUACUUGAUUCUACUUCGGUAGUUGAUGGUGGCGGACGGGUGAGUAACGCGUAAAGAAUCUGCCCUUUAGUUUGGGAUAACCUUUGGAAACGAAGGCUAAUACCGGAUAUUAUGGAGACGUCGCAUGGCGACUCCAUGAAAGCUAUAUGCGCUAGAGGAGGACUUUGCGUACCAUUAGUUAGUUGGUGAGGUAAUGGCUCACCAAGACCGCGAUGGGUAGCCGGCCUGAGAGGGUGAUCGGCCACAAGGGAACUGAGACACGGUCCUUACUCCUACGGGAGGCAGCUGUGGGGAAUAUUGGACAAUGGGCCACGAGCCUGAUCCAGCAAUUCUGUGUACACGAUGAAGGUCUUCGGAUUGUAAAGUGCUUUCAGUAGGGAAGAAAAAAAUGACGGUACCUACAGAAGAAGCGACGGCUAAAUAUGUGCCAGCAGCCGCCGUAA
Molecule: ribosomal RNA, 478 nt
Filed under: uncultured bacterium
Lineage: Bacteria
Description: partial 16S ribosomal RNA
Rfam family: Bacterial small subunit ribosomal RNA
Source: RNAcentral